Molecule: ribosomal RNA, 469 nt
Filed under: uncultured bacterium
Lineage: Bacteria
Description: partial 16S ribosomal RNA
Rfam family: Bacterial small subunit ribosomal RNA
Source: RNAcentral
GACGAACGCUGGCGGCGUGCUUAACACAUGCAAGUCGAACGAUGAGGCACCAGCUUGCUGGUGUGGAUUAGUGGCGAACGGGUGAGUAACACGUGAGUAACCUGCCCCUCACUCUGGGAUAAGCCUGGGAAACUGGGUCUAAUACUGGAUACGACCGAUCUCCGCAUGGAGUGUUGGUGGUAAGUUUUUGUGGUGGGGGAUGGACUCGCGGCCUAUCGGCUUGUUGGUGGGGUAGUGGCGUACCAAGGCGACGACGGGUAGCCGGCCUGAGAGGGCGACCGGCCACACUGGGACUGAGACACGGCCCAGACUCCUACGGGAGGCAGCAGUGGGGAAUAUUGCACAAUGGGCGAAAGCCUGAUGCAGCGACGCCGCGUGAGGGAUGACGGCCUUCGGGUUGUAAACCUCUUUCACCAGGGACGAAGCUAACGUGACGGUACCUGGAGAAGAAGCACCGGCUAACUACGUG